AGUUCUGCACUCUUCAGCCGGCGGCGCCACCAGCAGUUGUUUCUACGCGGGAAAUAGGGCAACAGCAUCCCAGCACAGCUGAGUGCCCAAGGAUGGUCAGCCGGCUAGAAACAAGAGUAAUGAUGGCACUUCACUCAGAGGUUUGUCCUGAGGCUUAAAUGAGGCAACAUGGACACAGCAUUUUAGCACAAGGCCAGGUACAGUAUGUGUAAGGAGUGUUGGCUGCUAUUUUCUCAGGCUCAUCAUCCAUCAGAUGCAAUCACUGUUCCCUGUCUUUGAAUUGUGCCUUUAAUUUUCAUACCGCCCCUGACCAAAAUUCCAUCAGAAAAAGGUGGCUUCAGCUAAAGGUUCUUACACCAGAAGCACAAUUAGAGUGAUUGGUGAAAAUUUCCCUUUGCAUGAGAUUGGCCCAUUUUGCAGGAUCGUUCCAUGGAGUGUUCACAGAUUCUUUUUUUUUUUUUAAUUGAAACAGUCUCACUCUGUCACGCAAGUUGGAAUGCAGUGGUGUGAUGUCGGCUCACUGCCAACAUCUGCCACCCAGGUUCAAGUGAUUCUCGUGUCUCAGCCUCCCCAGUAGCUGGGAUUACAGGCGCCGAUCACCAAGCCCGGCUAAUUUUUUUUGUAUUUUUAGUAGAGAUGGGGUUUUGCCAUGUUGGCCAGGCUGCUCUCAA
Molecule: long non-coding RNA, 671 nt
Filed under: Homo sapiens (human)
Lineage: Eukaryota; Metazoa; Chordata; Mammalia; Primates; Hominidae
Description: non-protein coding lnc-PDLIM1-1:7
Source: RNAcentral